This 481-nucleotide ribosomal RNA is filed under the name uncultured bacterium. RNAcentral describes it as "partial 16S ribosomal RNA". It matches the Rfam family "Bacterial small subunit ribosomal RNA", at positions 28 to 507 of the family's 1533-position model. The record is from RNAcentral.
GAUGAACGCUGGCGGCGUGCCUAACACAUGCAAGUCGAACGGAGAUUACGGACGGAAGUUUUCGGAUGGAAGACUGUAAUUCUUAGUGGCGGACGGGUGAGUAACGCGUGGGCAACCUGCCCUAUACAGGGGGAUAGCAGCUGGAAACGGCUGGUAAGACCGCAUAAGUCGGCGAGACCGCAUGGUUUUGCCGGGAAAUGAGCAAUCAGGUAUAGGAUGGGCCCGCGUCCGAUUAGCCAGUUGGCAGGGUAAAAGCCUACCAAAGCAACGAUCGGUAGCCGGACUGAGAGGUCGGACGGCCACAUUGGGACUGAGACACGGCCCACACUCCUACGGGAGGCAGCAGUGGGGGAUAUUGCACAAUGGAGGAAACUCUGAUGCAGCGACGCCGCGUGAGUGAAGAAGUAUUUCGGUAUGUAAAGCUCUAUCAGCAGGGAAGAUGAUGACGGUACCUGACUAAGAAGCCCCGGCUAACUACGUG